This 433-nucleotide ribosomal RNA is filed under the name Eikenella corrodens. Its description in RNAcentral is "partial 16S ribosomal RNA". It matches the Rfam family "Bacterial small subunit ribosomal RNA", at positions 230 to 655 of the family's 1533-position model. The record is from RNAcentral. Lineage: Bacteria; Pseudomonadati; Pseudomonadota; Betaproteobacteria; Neisseriales; Neisseriaceae.
CCGAUCACUGAUUAUGUUGGUGGGGGGGUGAAGGCCUACCGAGGCGACGAUUAGUCGGGGGGCUGAGAGGACCAUCCGCCUCGCUGGGGAUGAAACACGGCCCCUACUCCUACGGGAGGCAGCGGUGGGGAAUUUUGGACGAUGGGGGCCACCCUGAUCCAACCCUGCCGGGGGGAUGAAGAACGCCUUCGGGUUGUAAAGUACUUUUGUUAGGGAAGAAAAGGGAAGUGCUAAUACCACUUUUUGCUGACCGUACCUAAAGAAUAAGCACCGGCUAACUACGUGCCAGCAGCCGCGGUAAUACGUAAGGUGCGAGCGUUAAUCGGAAUUACUGGGCGUAAAGCGAGCGCAGACGGUUAUUUAAGCANGAUGUGAAAUCCCCGGGCUUAACCUGGGAACUGCGUUCUGAACUGGAUAGCUUGAGUGUGUCCGA